CCCGGGGGAAGGUUUACCGGACCCGGGGCGGACGCGGCCUAGUGGCGGACGGGUGAGUAACGCGUGGGCAGUCUGCCCCGUACCGGGGGAUAACACCUGGAAACAGGUGCUAACACCGCAUGACAGGCGGGGGCGCAUGCCCCGGCCUUGAAAACUCCGGUGGUACGGGAUGAGCCCGCGUCCGAUUAGCCAGUUGGCGGGGUAACGGCCCACCAAAGCGACGAUCGGUAGCCGGCCUGAGAGGGUGGACGGCCACAUUGGGACUGAGACACGGCCCAAACUCCUACGGAAGGCAGCAG
RNAcentral lists this ribosomal RNA (299 nucleotides) under uncultured bacterium. RNAcentral's name for it is "partial 16S ribosomal RNA". The stretch from base 49 to 292 matches the Rfam family "Bacterial small subunit ribosomal RNA", at positions 102 to 347 of the family's 1533-position model. The record is from RNAcentral.